This 67-nucleotide ribosomal RNA is filed under the name Candida tropicalis. Its description in RNAcentral is "partial 28S ribosomal RNA". The record is from RNAcentral. Lineage: Eukaryota; Fungi; Ascomycota; Pichiomycetes; Serinales; Debaryomycetaceae.
UUUUACCUCAAAACAGGGAGGACUACCCCCUGAAAUUAAACAUAUCAAUAAUCGGAGGAAAAGAACC